This 999-nucleotide ribosomal RNA is filed under the name uncultured bacterium. RNAcentral's name for it is "bacterial SSU rRNA". It matches the Rfam family "Bacterial small subunit ribosomal RNA", at positions 355 to 1375 of the family's 1533-position model. The record is from RNAcentral.
UGAGGGAUAUUGGGCAAUGGGGGAAACCCUGACCCAGCAACGCCGCGUGAGGGAUGACGGUUUUCGGAUUGUAAACCUCUGUCCUCUGUGAAGAUAGUGACGGUAGCAGAGGAGGAAGCUCCGGCUAACUACGUGCCAGCAGCCGCGGUAAUACGUAGGGAGCAAGCGUUGUCCGGAUUUACUGGGUGUAAAGGGUGCGUAGGCGGAUUGGCAAGUCAGAAGUGAAAUCCAUGGGCUUAACCCAUGAACUGCUUUUGAAACUGUUAGUCUUGAGUGAAGUAGAGGUAGGCGGAAUUCCCGGUGUAGCGGUGAAAUGCGUAGAGAUCGGGAGGAACACCAGUGGCGAAGGCGGCCUACUGGGCUUUAACUGACGCUGAGGCACGAAAGUGUGGGUAGCAAACAGGAUUAGAUACCCUGGUAGUCCACACUGUAAACGAUGAUUACUAGGUGUGGGGGGUCUAACCCCCUCCGUGCCGGAGUUAACACAAUAAGUAAUCCACCUGGGGAGUACGACCGCAAGGUUGAAACUCAAAAGAAUUGACGGGGGCCCGCACAAGCAGUGGAGUAUGUGGUUUAAUUCGACGCAACGCGAAGAACCUUACCAGGUCUUGACAUCCAACUAACGAAGCAGAGAUGCGUUAGGUGCCCUUCGGGGAAAGUUGAGACAGGUGGUGCAUGGUUGUCGUCAGCUCGUGUCGUGAGAUGUUGGGUUAAGUCCCGCAACGAGCGCAACCCUUGUGAUUAGUUGCUACGCAAGAGCACUCUAAUCAGACUGCCGUUGACAAAACGGAGGAAGGUGGGGACGACGUCAAAUCAUCAUGCCCUUUAUGACCUGGGCUACACACGUACUACAAUGGUCGUUAACAGAGGGAAGCAAUACCGCGAGGUGGAGCAAAACCCUAAAAACGGUCUCAGCUCAGAUUGUAGGCUGCAACUCGCCUACAUGAAGUUGGAAUUGCUAGUAAUCGCGGAUCAGCAUGCCGCGGUGAAUACGUUCCC